AAAAAAAAAAAAGAGAGCAAACAAAUUUCCUGAUUCUCUUAACCACUCUUUUACUGCUUCAAUCUCUUCUUUUUUUUUUCCUUCCUGAAUUUCUUUGUGUGUGCGUGUCUUGGAUUAGGAAAAAAUGUAGAGAGAGCAAGGGGAGAGUUGAUAGUUUUAAUUGGAGAGCAAAUACAUACCCCCGGACAAAAAGCCAUGUGAGCCCAUGUGUGCGUGCGUUGGAAUGGAAAGUAAUGUAGAAAGAGGGGGAAGAGAGAGGGGAUCUAAAAUAGGUAAGAACAUAACCUAUGGAUAUAGAGUCCAUGUGGGAUCAUGUGAAAGGAAAGAGAGGCAAUGAGAGAGAGAAAAUUCAUAUGAAAAAAUGGCGACGUGACUUGAUGGAGGGACAUCGUUUGGUUU
RNAcentral lists this long non-coding RNA (399 nucleotides) under Ananas comosus (pineapple). RNAcentral's name for it is "long non-coding RNA (ACOM_LNC029859)". Lineage: Eukaryota; Viridiplantae; Streptophyta; Magnoliopsida; Poales; Bromeliaceae. The record is from RNAcentral.